CCCUUAGAUGUUCUGGGCCGCACGCGCGCUACACUGAUGCAUUCAACGAGUUUCUUCCUGGUCCGAGAGGAAUGGGUAACCUUUUGAAAGUGCAUCGUGAUAGGGAUAGACUAUUGCAAUUAUUGGUCUUCAACGAGGAAUUCCUAGUAGACGUAGUUCAUCAGACUGCAUCGAUUACGUCCCUUCCCUUUGUACACACCGCCCGUCGCUCCUACCGAUUGAAUGCUCAGGUGAGCCAUUCGGACUUUCAUCAUGCUGGUUUCCAGUUUUGAUGAAGGAAAGUCUUGCGAACCUUAUCAUUUAGAGGAAGGAGAAGUCGUAACA
This 324-nucleotide ribosomal RNA is filed under the name uncultured eukaryote. RNAcentral describes it as "partial 18S ribosomal RNA". It matches the Rfam family "Eukaryotic small subunit ribosomal RNA", at positions 1470 to 1796 of the family's 1831-position model. The record is from RNAcentral.